Molecule: transfer RNA, 64 nt
Filed under: Acidaminococcaceae bacterium
Lineage: Bacteria; Bacillati; Bacillota; Negativicutes; Acidaminococcales; Acidaminococcaceae
Description: tRNA-OTHER
Rfam family: tRNA
About the family: Transfer RNA (tRNA) molecules are approximately 80 nucleotides in length. Their secondary structure includes four short double-helical elements and three loops (D, anti-codon, and T loops). Further hydrogen bonds mediate the characteristic L-shaped molecular structure. tRNAs have two regions of fundamental functional importance: the anti-codon, which is responsible for specific mRNA codon recognition, and the 3' end, to which the tRNAs corresponding amino acid is attached (by aminoacyl-tRNA synthetases). tRNAs cope with the degeneracy of the genetic code in two manners: having more than one tRNA (with a specific anti-codon) for a particular amino acid; and 'wobble' base-pairing, i.e. permitting non-standard base-pairing at the 3rd anti-codon position.
Source: RNAcentral
AGGCGGACUCGAAAUCCGUUAGCCGUUCUGCGGCACGUGGGUUCGAAUCCCACCCGCUCCGCCA